UCAGCGACUUAUAUUCUGUAGCAAGGUUAACCGAAUAGGGGAGCCGGAGGGAAACCGAGUCUUAAUUGGGCGUUAAGUUGCAGGGUAUAGACCCGAAACCCGGUGAUCUAGCCAUGGGCAGGUUGAAGGUUGGGUAACACUAACUGGAGGACCGAACCGACUAAUGUUGAAAAAUUAGCGGAUGACCUGUGGCUGGGGGUGAAAGGCCAAUCAAACCGGGAGAUAGCUGGUUCUCCCCGAAAGCUAUUUAGGUAGCGCCUCGUGAAUUCAUCUCCGGGGGUAGAGCACUGUUUCGGCUAGGGGGCCAUCCCGGCUUACCAACCCGAUGCAAACUGCGAAUACCGGAGAAUGUUAUCACGGGAGACACACGGCGGGUGCUAACGUCCGUCGUGAAGAGGGAAACAACCCAGACCGCCAGCUAAGGUCCCAAAGUCAUAGUUAAGUGGGAAACGAUGUGGGAAGGCCCAGACAGCCAGGAUGUUGGCUUAGAAGCAGCCAUCAUUUAAAGAAAGCGUAAUAGCUCACUGGUCGAGUCGGCCUGCGCGGAAGAUGUAACGGGGCUAAACUAUGCACCGAAGCUGCGGCAGCGACACUAUGUGUUGUUGGGUAGGGGAGCGUUCUGUAAGCCUGUGAAGGUGUGUCGUGAGGCAUGCUGGAGGUAUCAGAAGUGCGAAUGCUGACAUAAGUAACGAUAAAGCGGGUGAAAAGCCCGCUCGCCGGAAGACCAAGGGUUCCUGUCCAACGUUAAUCGGGGCAGGGUGAGUCGACCCCUAAGGCGAGGCCGAAAGGCGUAGUCGAUGGGAAACGGGUUAAUAUUCCCGUACUUGGUGUUACUGCGAAGGGGGGACGGAGAAGGCUAUGUUGGCCGGGCGACGGUUGUCCCGGUUUAAGCGUGUAGGUGUGUGUUCCAGGUAAAUCCGGUUCACUUUAACACUGAGGCGUGAUGACGAGGCACUACGGUGCUGAAGCAACAAAUGCCCUGCUUCCAGGAAAAGCCUCUAAGCAUCAGGUAACAUCAAAUCGUACCCCAAACCGACACAGGUGGUCAGGUAGAGAAUACCAAGGCGCUUGAGAGAACUCGGGUGAAGGAACUAGGCAAAAUGGUGCCGUAACUUCGGGAGAAGGCACGCUGACACGUAGGUGAAGUGAUUUACUCAUGGAGCUGAAGUCAGUCGAAGAUACCAGCUGGCUGCAACUGUUUAUUAAAAACACAGCACUGUGCAAACACGAAAGUGGACGUAUACGGUGUGACGCCUGCCCGGUGCCGGAAGGUUAAUUGAUGGGGUCAGCGCAAGCGAAGCUCCUGAUCGAAGCCCCGGUAAACGGCGGCCGUAACUAUAACGGUCCUAAGGUAGCGAAAUUCCUUGUCGGGUAAGUUCCGACCUGCACGAAUGGCGUAAUGAUGGCCAGGCUGUCUCCACCCGAGACUCAGUGAAAUUGAACUCGCUGUGAAGAUGCAGUGUACCCGCGGCAAGACGGAAAGACCCCGUGAACCUUUACUAUAGCUUGACACUGAACAUUGAGCCUUGAUGUGUAG
Molecule: ribosomal RNA, 1537 nt
Filed under: Salmonella enterica
Lineage: Bacteria; Pseudomonadati; Pseudomonadota; Gammaproteobacteria; Enterobacterales; Enterobacteriaceae
Description: partial 23S ribosomal RNA
Rfam family: Bacterial large subunit ribosomal RNA
Source: RNAcentral